RNAcentral lists this ribosomal RNA (509 nucleotides) under uncultured bacterium. RNAcentral describes it as "bacterial SSU rRNA". It matches the Rfam family "Bacterial small subunit ribosomal RNA", at positions 15 to 518 of the family's 1533-position model. The record is from RNAcentral.
GAUCAUGGCUCAGGAUGAACGCUGGCGGCGUGCCUAAUACAUGCAAGUCGAACGCAUUACUUCGGUAGUGAGUGGCGAACGGGUGAGUAACACGUAGGUAACUUACCUCUAAGACGAGGAUAACGACUGGAAACGGUCGCUAAAACUGGAUAGGAUCAUUUGAGGCAUCUCGAAUGAUUUAAAGGGGCUUUCAAGCCACACUUAGAGAAAGGCCUGCGGCGCAUUAGCUAGUUGGUGGGGUAGAGGCCUACCAAGGCGAUGAUGCGUAGCCGGACUGAGAGGUCGAACGGCCACAUUGGGACUGAGACACGGCCCAAACUCCUACGGGAGGCAGCAGUAGGGAAUUUUCGGCAAUGGGGGAAACCCUGACCGAGCAACGCCGCGUGAAUGAAAGAAGGUUUUCGGAUCGUAAAACUCUGUUGUCAGAGAAGAACAAGUUGGAGAGUAACUGCUCCAGCCUUGACGGUAUCUGACCAGAAAGCCACGGCUAACUACGUGCCAGCCGCCGC